AACGAACGCUGGCGGCAGGCUUAAUACAUGCAAGUCGAACGCGUGUAGCAAUACACGAGUGGCGCACGGGUGCGUAACGCGUGGGAACCUUCCUCGUAGUUCGGAAUAACCCAGGGAAACUUGGGCUAAUACCGGAUAUCUCCUUCGGGAGCAAGAUUUAUCGCUAUGAGAGGGGCCCGCGUCAGAUUAGGUAGUUGGUAGGGUACCGGCCUACCAAGACGAAGAUCUGUAGCUGGUCUGAGAGGAUGAUCAGCCACACUGGGACUGCGACACGGCCCAGACUCCUACGGGAGGCAGCAGUGGGUAAGAUUGGACAAGGGGGGCAACCCUGAUCCAGCCAUGCCGCGUGAGUGAAGAAGGCCUUCGGGUUGUAAAGCUCUUUCGACGGGGACGAUGAUGACGGUACCCGUAUAAGAAGCCCCGGCUAACUUCGUGCCAGCAGCCGCCGUAA
RNAcentral lists this ribosomal RNA (451 nucleotides) under uncultured bacterium. Its description in RNAcentral is "partial 16S ribosomal RNA". It matches the Rfam family "Bacterial small subunit ribosomal RNA", at positions 29 to 523 of the family's 1533-position model. The record is from RNAcentral.